AAUUAAAAUUCGGAUCAUCGAGACCAAACUUGGGUCUCCUGCCUUCUGGUCCAUUGUUUGGUAGAUGGCAUGAUCAGUAACAUGAGAUCACAGGAUAAAAAUAAGGAGAGUGAGCAAGGAUUUAUUUGGAAGAAAAAAAUAAUUUCCCUCCGUGAUUCGGAUGUUGACCUACAGGGUAUUCCGGGUGAGCGAGAAGAUUCCACCUGGGAAGACGGAAGUGCUGGUGAGCUGCACCCCCGUUCUGACCCUCUGGCCCCUCUGUCCCUGACCUGAGUCCCAUCCCUCUGUCCCUCCUAGUUAGAGGGCUAGGGCUCGUUUAUGGCUUCCACAUUUACAGUUGAGGUACAUGAAGAAAUUCAUCACAAACUUUCAUCAAGACCUUCUAUAAGCUUUAAAAAAAAACCUUACAAUUAAAAAAAGCACAUAUUAAAGGGCUUAUCAUGAAAAAGCAGGAGCCCCUUGCCCCACUAUUUUUAAAAAAAUAUUUAUUCAUUUUAAAUUAUUUCUCUCCCCUCCUCCCCGGCCCCCACGCUUUCUGCUCUCUGUGCCCAUUUGCUGUGUGUUCUUCUGUGUCCACUUGUGUUCUUGUCAGCAGCACUGGGAAUCUGUGUCUCUCUUUGUUGCG
Molecule: long non-coding RNA, 625 nt
Filed under: Dasypus novemcinctus (nine-banded armadillo)
Lineage: Eukaryota; Metazoa; Chordata; Mammalia; Cingulata; Dasypodidae
Description: lncRNA (ENSDNOG00000050591.1)
Source: RNAcentral